Cyanidioschyzon merolae strain 10D is the source of this 1858-nucleotide RNA transcript. RefSeq lists it as hypothetical. The transcript has a single exon. Lineage: Eukaryota; Rhodophyta; Bangiophyceae; Cyanidiales; Cyanidiaceae. The record is from RefSeq and is a predicted model, not a curated record.
GCGGUUGUAUGGUACUCUGGACGGAGCUGGUGAAGGAAACGCAGCUAUGAUAGAUCUCUCGUUGUUGUAUAGGCUGUAUAGAGCAAUAUAGGCGAAAGAGAACGCAACCGAUUCCUGUUUAUCAAUGAAUGAACACUCUCUGGUCAAGCAGGUGUCUCUGGAUAACGUUCUUUUUUGGAGAUUUCGACGGAGCUGGUGAAGGAAACGCAGCUAUGAUAGAUCUCUCGUUGUUACAUAGGCUGUAUAGAGCAAUAUAGGCGAAAGAGAACGCAACCGAUUCCUGUUUAUCAAUGAAUGAACACUCUCUGGUGAAGCAGGUGUCUCUCGAUAGAGAAUUAGCAGCCUGAUGUCGCGGGUCUGUCGAGAGCAGACUCCUUCAGGCGACACACAGCUUGCUGAGCUGCUGUGCCCAAACGGCAUUUCUGUAGGGCAUUGCGAGCUUAGUGCCUCCCAGUGCUGGGCUUGGGUCGGAACAACGCCGGUUCUUGCCUCGAACAGCGUCGCUUUCGGGGUACACUGCACCAGAGUUUCCCAGCGAACGCGCGGCAGAGUCCCAGCUGCUUCUGGCGCGUGUGCUCGUACAGCGCAGCGUCAUCGCACUUGGUCCAACUCGCAAAGCAAUCCGUCCUAGCGGACUGCUAUGCAGCCACUGCGGUGUUUCCAGCUGCGUUUGGUGUGCGAAACAGACGGCAAUAGGUCCAGCAUGCACUGCACUGCCAUGAUGCCAACGAAACAGCUCCCUGAAGUAGACAGGGAGACUCGCGAUCUAGUUCCGGUGCCGUGAACGUUAUCUACGCUGCAUAUGGUACUGGCGUUGCGCGUUUGUUGCACAAGCGCCGAGUCGCCACAGAAGCAAAGGUCGCGUUUCAUACUCGGUUGAACAGAUCAAGGCAAAGCUGGGUGUUUCCGUGGUUCGAUGCGCAUACGCUCGUUCCCAGUAAGUACGCAAACUGCCGAAUAGCGAGCGUUGAGCGCGUGGCACCCUCUUGCCGCGAAUCACACAUUUGAUGAGGCAUUGCACCAUGCAGCACCGGACAGCGCGUCGAGCGCACAUGUUUGUAUCCUAGCGUCCGUUGAAAAAAACGACCAUACCAGAGAUAUCAUAUAGGCAAGUGUGUGCUCACGCAUGCUCCCGUGCAGCGUCUCCAGGCGGUGGCAGCAGCGGCGCUUUGGCGGCACUCGUGGAAAGCAGCGCGGCAACCACGGUCACGUUGUCUUGAGUCUCUCGCUGUAAUGCCUCCGUAACCAGGCGGCGUGCCAACAGACCAGGGACCUGCACAGUGCCUCGGAUGAUUUUCGCUACUUCACCGACAUCCAUGACAUCCCAGAGACCGUCGGUGGCAAGGAUCAGGAUAUAUUCUCGAUCGGGCUGCAAAUGCUGGAUGUAGAGCUCAGGUUCCGCAGUCAAAUAGCGUUUGAGCGCAAUGUCCCCGAUCGCACGCGUAACCAGCGUAAGACCCUCAACUCGAAGCGUACCAGCGCUAUCUGCAAGGACCCGUGCGCCUUGUUCUUGAAGACGUGCACGUUCCUGUGAAGACGCUGUACAAGUUUGAUCUAAAGUGACGAGGAUAGGCACCAAGGCCGUAUCGGGUUGCACUUCAAAGAGCACCGCCCUGGAGUCCCCGAUAUUUGCCACAUAUAACGUGCCGCUGUGCACCAUCGCCACAAGUGCCGUGCUGCCAACAAGUCCUCGCUUCCCGAGGGCCUGUGAUGCGUCGUGCUGGGCGCACCACAGCGACCAGCACAUAUCCACGAAACAGAGAAGCUCGCGCAGCACUUGUUCGGGGCGCAUUUGCGGGUUACGACCCAGCAGCCUCUGGAGAGCAUCUGGAAUCAGAGCCGCCGUAAAGUCAGCUGC